RNAcentral lists this ribosomal RNA (875 nucleotides) under Escherichia coli. RNAcentral describes it as "partial 23S ribosomal RNA". It matches the Rfam family "Bacterial large subunit ribosomal RNA", at positions 344 to 1222 of the family's 2925-position model. The record is from RNAcentral. Lineage: Bacteria; Pseudomonadati; Pseudomonadota; Gammaproteobacteria; Enterobacterales; Enterobacteriaceae.
GGAAAGGCGCGCGAUACAGGGUGACAGCCCCGUACACAAAAAUGCACAUGCUGUGAGCUCGAUGAGUAGGGCGGGACACGUGGUAUCCUGUCUGAAUAUGGGGGGACCAUCCUCCAAGGCUAAAUACUCCUGACUGACCGAUAGUGAACCAGUACCGUGAGGGAAAGGCGAAAAGAACCCCGGCGAGGGGAGUGAAAAAGAACCUGAAACCGUGUACGUACAAGCAGUGGGAGCACGCUUAGGCGUGUGACUGCGUACCUUUUGUAUAAUGGGUCAGCGACUUAUAUUCUGUAGCAAGGUUAACCGAAUAGGGGAGCCGAAGGGAAACCGAGUCUUAACUGGGCGUUAAGUUGCAGGGUAUAGACCCGAAACCCGGUGAUCUAGCCAUGGGCAGGUUGAAGGUUGGGUAACACUAACUGGAGGACCGAACCGACUAAUGUUGAAAAAUUAGCGGAUGACUUGUGGCUGGGGGUGAAAGGCCAAUCAAACCGGGAGAUAGCUGGUUCUCCCCGAAAGCUAUUUAGGUAGCGCCUCGUGAAUUCAUCUCCGGGGGUAGAGCACUGUUUCGGCAAGGGGGUCAUCCCGACUUACCAACCCGAUGCAAACUGCGAAUACCGGAGAAUGUUAUCACGGGAGACACACGGCGGGUGCUAACGUCCGUCGUGAAGAGGGAAACAACCCAGACCGCCAGCUAAGGUCCCAAAGUCAUGGUUAAGUGGGAAACGAUGUGGGAAGGCCCAGACAGCCAGGAUGUUGGCUUAGAAGCAGCCAUCAUUUAAAGAAAGCGUAAUAGCUCACUGGUCGAGUCGGCCUGCGCGGAAGAUGUAACGGGGCUAAACCAUGCACCGAAGCUGCGGCAGCGACGCUGAUGCGUU